Molecule: long non-coding RNA, 367 nt
Filed under: Ictidomys tridecemlineatus (thirteen-lined ground squirrel)
Lineage: Eukaryota; Metazoa; Chordata; Mammalia; Rodentia; Sciuridae
Description: lncRNA (ENSSTOG00000033645.1)
Source: RNAcentral
AAAAAAUGAUUGCUAUUACAUUUCACAGUAAAUUUUUAUGCAGAAGGCAACCUCAGUAUUCCCCUGCACAUGCAUUUGUCUUGAGGUGUCUUCAAGUAAAUUAAUACUCAAGACUAGCCACUGGAGUGUGAUUUGGAAAAUUGUGUCGGGGAGAACAAAUGCCUUUUAAAUGGCACCCAAAGGGCUCCAAAGAGUUAAUGAACCUUAUAUUCUCCAUGAACCAGAUUCAUUUUAAAGACACCCUUUCACAGAUGAGGUGUGUAGCUAAUUAUAUUUGCACAUUUAGCUAGCUGCUUAGCCAUGCACAAUGAGUGAUAUUAUGAGCAGUGAGUCACCAACCACACCACCAUAUGGACAUGAUUUUCAG